RNAcentral lists this ribosomal RNA (443 nucleotides) under uncultured bacterium. Its description in RNAcentral is "partial 16S ribosomal RNA". It matches the Rfam family "Bacterial small subunit ribosomal RNA", at positions 338 to 795 of the family's 1533-position model. The record is from RNAcentral.
CCUACGGGAGGCAGCAGUGGGGAAUAUUGGGCAAUGGGCGCAAGCCUGACCCAGCAACGCCGCGUGAAGGAAGAAGGCUUUCUGGUUGUAAACUUCUUUUCUCGGGGACGAAGCACGUGACGGUACCUGAGUAAUAAGCCACGGCUAACUACGUGCCAGCAGCCGCGGUAAUACGUAGGUGGCAAGCGUUAUCCGGAUUUACUGGGUGUAAAGGGCGUGUAGGCGGGAAAGCAAGUCAGAUGUGAAAACCAUGGGCUCAACCUGUGGCCUGCAUUUGAAACUGUUGUUCUUGAGUACUGGAGAGGCAGACGGAAUUCCGAGUGUAGCGGUGAAAUGCGUAGAUAUUAGGAGGAACACCAGUGGCGAAGGCGGUCUGCUGGACAGCAACUGACGCUGAGGCGCGAAAGCGUGGGGAGCAAACAGGAUUAGAUACCCCGGUAGUC